RNAcentral lists this long non-coding RNA (1330 nucleotides) under Callithrix jacchus (white-tufted-ear marmoset). RNAcentral describes it as "lncRNA (ENSCJAG00000074563.1)". The record is from RNAcentral. Lineage: Eukaryota; Metazoa; Chordata; Mammalia; Primates; Cebidae.
UUACAGCAGAGAAGGAACUCAAGGUCACUUACUAUCUUCAAGUAAAGCCAGAUUGGACUCAUUGUCCUCUGAUGAUCUUUAUUCUUCUACUCAACAGCAGAAGCGGAGCCCUGGUGGGAAACGGGGGUGGGGGUACAAGCGCAGUCACCAACAGACUGGCUGAAAGAAGCCUCUCUCUCGGGUAUUUAUAGAGCUUGCAUCGCCAUGGUACCCAGGCGCUGAAAUUAAACUCCAGCCCAACUGCUUAGAGAUGGAUGGAAUGAAAUACACUUCACCUGUCCACUGUGCAUGGUCUCAUACCUCAUUCUCAGAACUUCACCACUGCAAAGACAAACAAAUGCAGUGAAUUUUGCAAAUCACCUGGCAAGACAGGUAUAGGGUUGGGUUUAAAUCCAGAUAACCUGCCUCAACAGGGUGGCUGGGUGGAGUAGUAGAAAAAACAUGGGCAGAAAAAACAAUUCAUAUCUGAAACUUGACUCUGUGUCUUGCUCAGUGUGUGACUGUUAGCAUGAGACUGCAUCUCUUUGAGCCUCAGUUUCCCCACCUGUAAAAUGAGAGCAACAACAAGAAAAAUGAGAGCAACAAUGCCACCUCAUUGUUGACUUGUGACAACUAAGUGAGAUGAUGUAAGUAAAGUGCUUAGCUCAGUUUCUGAAAUGCAGACGUUCUUUUAAAUAUAGGUCCCCUUCCCUGCUCAGCUCUGUUAUUCAUUUAUUCCACAAGACUUUUGUGUGUGCCUAUUGUAUGCCAGACAAGUAUUGAGACACAGGGUGAUUUCUGGUCCUGUGUAGCAAACAGUUUAGUAAUGUUACAUAUAAUAAACAAGUCAACAAAUGAAAAAGUAACUGCAAGUUGUUGUUAAUAAUAUGAAGGAUGGAGUGUGCCCUGAAGAAUGUGGUAGGGUGUGGAUUGGCUGAGAAUCUACUUUAGACUGGGCCAGAGGAGAAGGCCAUUCUGAGGAGGUAACAUUUAAGCAGAGACCUCAAGCAGCCAGCAAUGUGAAAAACCAAAGAACAUGCAUUGCAGGCUAAGAGAUUAGCAGGUACGAACAAAAGCCCCGAAGACAGUAUUUCGACACACCCAGGGCACUGUUUCUAUUUCACUGAAAACCACAGGAGGCUGCCCUUGAUGCAGUCAUCCAAGCUAGAAGGUGGUAGCCGGAAAAUGCCACAAGAUUCUCUGACCCCAAACCCAGGGCUUCCUGUACCGUCAUCUCCAUCAUGAUCCAGGUGAGCAGAGUCCCUGCUUCCCACCCCUGGUUACUCAGCUGCAGUUGCCUCAAAGGUCCAGUAAAGCCUAGUGACGUUUGGCUAUUUUGCUACUUUGUCUU